This 212-nucleotide long non-coding RNA is filed under the name Pelobates cultripes (western spadefoot toad). Lineage: Eukaryota; Metazoa; Chordata; Amphibia; Anura; Pelobatidae. The record is from RNAcentral.
GGGAAGUAAGGGAUGGGGGGAAAGGCUGCACUGAGACACUGAGACACUAAGGGACAUUGGGAGACAUUAUGGCAGACACUGAGACACUAAGGGACACUGGGAGACAUUAUGGCAGACAUUGAGACACUAAGGGACACUGGGAGACAUUAUGGCAGACACUGAGACACUAAGGGACAUUGGGAGACAUUAUGGCAGACACUGAGACACUAAGG